RNAcentral lists this long non-coding RNA (967 nucleotides) under Scleropages formosus (Asian bonytongue). RNAcentral's name for it is "lncRNA (ENSSFOG00015026630.1)". Lineage: Eukaryota; Metazoa; Chordata; Actinopteri; Osteoglossiformes; Osteoglossidae. The record is from RNAcentral.
GCCCGUUGCGUUUUUUCUCCACCAGUCGCUUGUUUUCCCGCUGGGUUUGCGCUGCGGCUGCGUGUUUUUUGUUUGAUUCGCGUGGUGUCGUUUUGUUGCCGCUUCACGCUCUUCUGGCACCUGCGGGAGGCUGCGCGUUGAAACGCCGUGAAGCAAAAAAAACACUUACGAUUAACUACUUAAUAAUUUCUCUCGAUAAGAAAAAAUGUAUUCUUUCCGUGCCCACAGGGGUCUGCGAAUAGUUGGCUGGAGAGAGGACUUCAUGUAUGAAUGGUUCAAAGUAGACAAGAUUGUGCGCUCAGCAAACAGUAACGCCCAGAACGUGAAACACGGUAAAAAAGUAAAGAACAAAACUGAAAAAUCCAGUACAGAGAAACUAACAGAUGAGGAGGACACUUCUCCAUCCUGGAAUCACAGUGUCCUUGGAUUCUCCGAGACAGGAGUUGCCCACGAUGGCUUUCCUAAAGUGGAAGGCCGCGACGGCAAACCUGCUCCACAGUUCCCUGUAAAGCCUCUUUUCAGUGGUCUGCCAGCAUCUGAAAGCUCAAGCAACAAUGAGAGUGAGAGGGAGAUGGACACAGGAUCCUCCUCCAUGGCUUUCGAUGCUGUCUUCUCCUCCAGCAGCAGCAGUCCUCUGGAGACUGAGCAGGCAACCAAAGCCAACCUUGAGAAUAUGUCCAGCACAGAGAGAAUAGCCUUCCUGCAGGAGAAGCUCAAGGACAUCCGCAGUCACUACCUCUCACUGAAGUCUGAGGUGGCCUCCAUUGACCGCAGGAGGAAACUCAUGAAAAAGAAAAGAGGGGGUAGAAGGCUAAUUCAUAAAAUUAAUAAAAAACAGAGAGACUAGUUUCUGCUUACAUGCACUUAGAUUAUGAAAUAUUUUCCAUGACAGAUUAGACAGGUGCUAUCUAUUGAAAUUUUAAAUUAAAAAAAUAAAUGUAACUACAUUUGUUUCUAUUUAUGUAUU